This is a non-coding RNA of Triticum aestivum (bread wheat), 127 nucleotides long. The record is from Rfam. NCBI's taxonomy places the organism in Eukaryota, Viridiplantae, Streptophyta, Magnoliopsida, Poales, Poaceae.
AAAAUACUCCCUUCGCCCGAAAAUACUUGUCGAAGAAAUAGAUGAAUCUAAACAUAUAUUUUAGUUAUAGAUACAUCUAAUUUUAUCCAUUUCUCCGACAAGUAUUUCGGGACCGAGAGAGUACAUA